Molecule: ribosomal RNA, 468 nt
Filed under: uncultured bacterium
Lineage: Bacteria
Description: partial 16S ribosomal RNA
Rfam family: Bacterial small subunit ribosomal RNA
Source: RNAcentral
GACGAACGCUGGCGGCGGGCUUAACACAUGCAAGUCGAACGGAAAGGCCCUGCUUUUUUGGGGUGCUCGAGUGGCGAACGGGUGAGGAACACGUGAGUAACCUGCCCUUGACUUUGGGAUAACUUCAGGAAACUGGGGCUAAUACCGGAUAGGAGCUCCUGCUCCAUUGUGGGGGUGGGAUAUUUUCGGCUGUUGGGGAUGGAUUCGCGGCUUAUGAGCUUGUUGGUGGGGUAGUGGCUUACCAAGGCUUUGACGGGUAGCCGGCCUGAGAGGGUGACCGGCCACAUUGGGCCUGCGAUACGGCCCAGACUCCUACGUGAGGCAGCAGUGGGGAAUAUUGCACAAUGGGCGGAAGCGUGAUGAAGCAACGCUGCGUGCGGGAUGACGGCCUUCGGGUUGUAAACCGCUUUAGCCUGUGACGAAGCGUGAGUGACGGUAAUGGGUAAAGAAGCACCGGCUAACUACGUG